Molecule: long non-coding RNA, 767 nt
Filed under: Gallus gallus (chicken)
Lineage: Eukaryota; Metazoa; Chordata; Aves; Galliformes; Phasianidae
Description: lncRNA (ENSGALG00010004382.1)
Source: RNAcentral
GUUAGAGUGUACUGUCAACCUCAUCUUUACAUUUCAGCUCUUGUGCAAUACAUUCAGCCUUUAUACAGCUCUCAUAGCUGUGUAUCUGGGAUAUCGAAAUAUCUCAAAUGAAACCAAAUGUUUACAGAAGUUCACUUUGCUACUGUGUAAAAUCACUCUCAUUUCUCUCUGCCAAGUAGUCCGUGAGGUGAGAACAGGGCUGUUUACUGCACAAAUGCAAAAUCGAGUACAAGAGGAAACAACAGAGGAACAAAAUUCAGACCUGAGUCCUGGUGGAAGUUCCAUGAUAUUAGUUCCACUGAAGCUUUUAUUUGAGACGUUGGCAAUUUUGCUCUUCAGAUCCCUGACACCAGCUGGAAUUUUCAGUUCUACACGGAGGUAUUAAUCCAUGGUCUUCAGCCAUUCCUUGAACUUCAGAAAAUUCACUCAGGUCUGGAAGAAGGAUAUGUUCCUUGAAGGGUGCCAGAUGGUGAAGCUCCAAUGGCCAGCCUGCCUCCUCUAACUGCUACAAAGAGAAUUUUCAGGAAGAAUCCAACCCAUCUCAUAUAGGCCUUGAACAGUAAUGCUCACAAUGUUUGGACACUUCAGAGAACAUAACUUUCAAUGUCUACAGAUACUCUCUUGGAUGAGCCAAAUGACUACCCUUAGAUUAUAAGUGUGAUGUAGACCAAAGGCACAUACACACGAUUAACUACAGCAGAACAUCAAUAACAAAUCUGCCUUACAGCUCAGUACUUUGUUUACAGUGCAUAGAUGGAGUCAGGAGC